CUACCUAACAACCCCACCCACCUACCUAACAACCUCACCCACCUACCUAACAACCUCACCACCUAACAACCCACCUACCUAACAAUCCACCUACCGGGCCUCUCGGGUGUUACAGUUGUCUAAAGGCACUGCAUCGCAGUGCCAGCAGAGAUUCUGGGUUCAAGCCCAGGCUCUGUCGCAGCCGGCCGCGACCGGGAGGUCCUUGGGGCGAUGCACAGCGUUGUCCGGGUUAGGGAGGGUUUGGCCGGCAGGGAUAUCCUUGUCUCAUCGCGCACUAGCGACUCCUGUGGCAGGGCGCAGUGCAUUUUGACCAGGUCGCCAGGUGUACGGUGUUUCCUCCGACACAUUGGAGGACGCACAUAUAGGUUGGAUGUGCGUUAUGUCAAGAAGCAGUGCGGCUAGGUUGGGUUGUGUUUCGGAGGACGCAUGGCUCUCGACCUUUGCAUCUCCUGAGUCCGUACGGGAGUUGCAGCGAUGAGACAAGACUGUAACUACCAAUUGAAUACCACGAAAUUGGGGAGAAAAAAGGGGUAAAAAAAAAAUCAUCAAAAAUAACAACCCACCUUCCUAACAACCCAACAAUCUAACAACCCCACUAACCUACCUAACAACCCACCUACCUAACAACCCACCCACCUAACAACCCAACAAUCUAACAACCCCACCAACCUACCUAACAACCCACCUUCCUAACAACCCAACAAUCUAACAACCCCACCAACCCUACCUAACAACCCACCUUCCGAACAACCCACCUACCUAACAACCCAACCACCUAACAACACCACCCUGAUAUCUAUAGCCACAGAACUCCUCUCUUCUGAUCGCCAGUCCACAGAGGUUCACCAGGCAUGAUUUCCCUCACAGAGCGUGCAGCUCGCUGGCCCUGGCAUGCGGAGCCCUCGCAAAGAACUGCAUGGCAAAGCUAUGAACAGCACACAGCAAAAAGAGAGAUCUACUGAAUCAUCAAAUGGAGGAGAUCGCCUCAUAAAAAUGGGAAAUACAGACCACAUUCAAUAAAUGGAAAUAUAUACAUUGGGCAAGAUUGUACAUAAAAGAGGAACAAGAGUCCAGCUUCUGAAUUAUAACAUAUCAUUUCUGCUUUGGGUUUAUUUUAAGCAUGUUGUAUAGCGGGUGUUUAUGGUAAUGUUAAUGAAAGAAAACAGUAACAGAAUUAUGAUUUGGUUCAAAAUGCUAUGGAUAACCAGAGAAUGUAAUGAUCUACCUAUUAGGUGUUCAGCAAAGUUAUCACUCGUUACACACUGUAUUUAUCCAAUAUAGAGGUCAAGGGUCAAGUUCAGUAUACAUGGGACAGAGCAGAGGUCAGAUUUAGGGGUGUCUUCUCUGGAGGUCAGAUUUAGCGGUAUACAGCACAUGUGUCAUCUCUAAAGGUCGGGGCAUAGUGAUAAUGACAAAAAGAUGGAUCACACAUGACACAGUCUAUGAAUGACGUCAUCGGGUUCCUUAAGUACUUCCAGUAGUGACUCAAAAUCCAAAGAAUCAAUCACGUGGAAUGUUUGGAUGUUGUCGCACACAGAGCACUUUCCCCAUAGUCUGUUCCUCUCUCUCACAGUGCUGCAGACAGACACACAGUGUGUCCCUGCAGACUAGUUCCACCUGUCUGAUCAGGUGGUGUCACUAUUUAACAGUCCUCAUCAACACCCACUAUACUGGCUGGCUUGUGCUCUCAUAAACUCUUACUAGAAAUCAAGUUCAUCUCUGCUGGUACGCUGCAUGUAUUCACACUAUAGUGGGCUUAUAAUUCUGUAAGGGAGUCCCAAAUCCGCAAGAUAAAAUAUGCUGCUAAAGAAAAGGUGCAUGUCAACAAACAAAAUAUUUAAAUUUUAUUUCUAUGCAAAGAAAGAUGUUGCACAAACUUAUGGGGUUAUUACAUGAAAUAAUGAUAUCAGUAUAAACAUGGAAUAAAACCUCUGCGAAUCAGCCAACAUUUUGUAUUCAGCUAUUCCCACAUCUCAUUUCAUUUCGCUUCAAAGUACUGAAAUAAAGAAUGACAAUGUGCAUAAUUGAAUCAACAUGUCCAAGUGAAAAGCGAAAGAGCAUCCUUUUACAUUUGUGGAAUCGAAGAAAAUAUAUAUUUUGUGUGUUUUUCAACCGAUCUAAAAAUGACUAUUCCAAAUCUGACAUACUGUAUGUGCCGAGGCCUCAACAGGUUACAUUUCCAGGACUUUAGUUUCCAGCUCAGCUGACAGACAGUUGGUGUGUUCCAAGUGCUGCCAUCGCACUGGCAUUGUGUAAAACUCCAUGUUAGUCAUCAUCUCGUGUCCCUAUCAACACUGCAUCAUGUACAGUUGGACCGACGAAUAAACUACUGAAAUAUUUUA
Oncorhynchus tshawytscha (Chinook salmon) is the source of this 2342-nucleotide long non-coding RNA. The record is from Ensembl. Lineage: Eukaryota; Metazoa; Chordata; Actinopteri; Salmoniformes; Salmonidae.